CACGUAGGGGGCAAGCGUUGUCCGGAUUUAUUGGGCGUAAAGAGCUCGUAGGUGGUUCGGUAAGUCGGGUGUUAAACCCCCAGGCUCAACCUGGGGACGCCACUCGAUACUGCUGUGACUAGAGUCCGGUAGGGGAGCGUGGAAUUCCUGGUGUAGCGGUGAAAUGCGCAGAUAUCAGGAGGAACACCGGUGGCGAAGGCGGCUUGCUGGGCCAGUUCUGACGCUGAGGAGCGAAAGCGUGGGGAGCGAACAGG
Molecule: ribosomal RNA, 254 nt
Filed under: uncultured bacterium
Lineage: Bacteria
Description: partial 16S ribosomal RNA
Rfam family: Bacterial small subunit ribosomal RNA
Source: RNAcentral